AACGCUGGCGGCGUGCCUAACACAUGCAAGUCGAACGAAGCAAUUAAAAUGAAGUUUUCGGACGGAUUUUUGAUUGACUGAGUGGCGGACGGGUGAGUAACGCGUGGAUAACCUGCCUCACACUGGGGGAUAACAGUUAGAAAUGACUGCUAAUACCGCAUAAGCGCACAGUACCGCAUGGUACGGUGUGAAAAACUCCGGUGGUGUGAGAUGGAUCCGCGUCUGAUUAGCCAGUUGGCGGGGUAACGGCCCACCAAAGCGACGAUCAGUAGCCGACCUGAGAGGGUGACCGGCCACAUUGGGACUGAGACACGGCCCAAACUCCUACGGGAGGCAGCAGUGGGGAAUAUUGCACAAUGGGCGAAAGCCUGAUGCAGCGACGCCGCGUGAGUGAAGAAGUAUUUCGGUAUGUAAAGCUCUAUCAGCAGGGAAGAAAAUGACGGUACCUGACUAAGAAGCCCCGGCUAACUACGUGCCAGCAGCCGCGGUAAUACGUAGGGGGCAAGCGUUAUCCGGAUUUACUGGGUGUAAAGGGAGCGUAGACGGCGAAGCAAGUCUGAAGUGAAAACCCAGGGCUCAACCCUGGGACUGCUUUGGAAACUGUUUUGCUAGAGUGUCGGAGAGGUAAGUGGAAUUCCUAGUGUAGCGGUGAAAUGCGUAGAUAUUAGGAGGAACACCAGUGGCGAAGGCGGCUUACUGGACGAUAACUGACGUUGAGGCUCGAAAGCGUGGGGAGCAAACAGGAUCAGAUACCCUGGUAGUCCACGCCGUAAACGAUGAAUGCUAGGUGUUGGGGGGCAAAGCCCUUCGGUGCCGUCGCAAACGCAGUAAGCAUUCCACCUGGGGAGUACGUUCGCAAGAAUGAAACUCAAAGGAAUUGACGGGGACCCGCACAAGCGGUGGAGCAUGUGGUUUAAUUAGAAGCAACGCGAAGAACCUUACCAAGUCUUGACAUCCUCUUGACCGGCGUGUAACGGCGCCUUCCCUUCGGGGCAAGAGAGACAGGUGGUGCAUGGUUGUCGUCAGCUCGUGUCGUGAGAUGUUGGGUUAAGUCCCGCAACGAGCGCAGCCCUUAUCCUUAGUAGCCAGCAGGUAAAGCUGGGCACUCUAGGGAGACUGCCAGGGAUAACCUGGAGGAAGGUGGGGAAGACGUCAAAUCAUCAUGCCCCUUAGGAUUUGGGGUACACACGCGGUACAAUGGAGUAAACAAAGGGAAGCAAGACAGUGACGUGGAGCAAAUUCCAAAAAUAA
This 1251-nucleotide ribosomal RNA is filed under the name uncultured organism. RNAcentral describes it as "SSU rRNA". It matches the Rfam family "Bacterial small subunit ribosomal RNA", at positions 32 to 1283 of the family's 1533-position model. The record is from RNAcentral.